Molecule: RNA transcript, 1554 nt
Organism: Oncorhynchus kisutch (coho salmon)
Lineage: Eukaryota; Metazoa; Chordata; Actinopteri; Salmoniformes; Salmonidae
Gene: ankrd66
Gene name: ankyrin repeat domain 66
Exons: 3
Source: RefSeq, a predicted model, not a curated record
UAUUCCCCCCCAAUCGUGUUAGAAAUGACAGAGUUGCACCAGGCAGCUGCUGCUGGAGACUUUGAUCUAGUGGAGGAGAUUCUGAACAAGAAGAAAUGUAACCCCAAUCACAGAGACAUAGACUGGAACUACAAGACACCGCUUCACUGGGCAGCAGCCAAAGUCCCUGUUUCCCAGGACAGACAGAGACUGUUAGAAUUCUGGUGGAGCACGGAGCCAGAGCCUGCCUGAGAACUGAUAGUGGAUGGACACCUGCCCACUUUGCAGCCGAGGCUGGGAGACUUGGAGUGCUGCGCCUGCUCCACUCAUUACACGCCCCCAUAGACAAAGAGGACUUCUCUGGUGAUAAACCAGUCAGAAUAGCAGAAGUCUAUGGACAUAAUGACUGUGUUCGAUUUCUUGAAAGUGCAGAGCCAGAGUGCAGGACCUACCGCCAGAUGGCAGUGUUAAACAGCUUUCCCUUGGACGACACGGACAAGGAAUGGGAGGCGCAGAGAAGAUAGGAACUAAACAGGACUGCAAAACAAGGGAUUACCACACCUCAUUAACAAAAACAUUAUUUGGAAAACAGCUAGUAUAGUUUACCCGAACCAAUUAAAAAAAUGUUACACCACGAAAAAUACAGACAUUACAUACAUUUCAUUGGUCAUACAGUAUGAAAAACUGUUCUGGACACUUACGAUAGAUACAAACAGGUGUAGGUUACACAUUAUGCAAUUCAUUUUCCAAAUGAUUAAUUCCUAUGAUGUAAUUUUCCAUUCUACAUAACAUCUAAUAUAUAGGCUAUAUUACAACAGAAAAAUAAGGCCACAAUUCUAAUAAAUGAUACAUGUAGGACAUUGCACGUACUUUCUCAGUGUCAGAAUUUCAGUUGAUUAGUAUGGGGUUUAAUUUAGAUGUAAACUAAGCCUAGAUGAAUAAACAGUAUAGAUAUACAACAUAUAAAAUAAAAAAAAGAAACAGAAUUGUCAAAAUAUCAUUUUGACUUCAUCGUUGAUGCCAGUUUGGAACUUUCACUCACUGCUGAUUGUACCUGCUGGUGAAGAGUGAAAUAGAUAAAUAAUCAAUUAGCUAUGACAUUACAUCCAGUUGGUUUAGACCAAUAAAUAAACUGUGAUUUGUAAACUCACUUUUAGGUUGAAAUAUUUCAGUAGUGCAACACGAAUCUGUUUGGAAGGAACACAUAUUUUUUUUAUUGGAAUGGGUUUUUGUUUUGCUACAUAUUUCAGUCUCAUUCAUCAGGUAUUGUUGCCUGGUUACCCAUCCACAUCACUCCAGCCAAACGCCACACCCACUAAUGUUUCUUCUCCAACCGAGUGGGUGCGUUCAGUUAGAUUAAACUUUUGCAUGGUUGUGUAAACAGUUUGUACUGAAUGACACGUUUCCCCAAAAUGUUCUCGAACUGACUGAGGUAUGUUUUCUCUGUUUGGUGGGUGCGGUGUGGCUUGAAGCAAUAAGUGAUAUAUUUACAGGCCAGCAGCCAUGCUGACAGCGUUUCCCAACCCACAACCCAAUAAAUUAUUUGAUAUUGAGAUAAAAACGGCUGUAUUGGAC